UUUUUUUCCCAUGACAAAAAUACCCAUCGUAAUCAAUCUGUAAGGUAUGAAGUUCAUGGUUCAUUCAGUUUUGUUUUUCUACAUUUCCAUUGUCGAAACAGCUCACAGAAGAAGAAAAAUCCUAUAACCUAAUCUUCUCGACGACAACGGUAUAAAAAUUCAAUGUUCAAACAUAAAUCUGAGAACCUUUUCAAUUCGAUUCCACUUAAAUAACCUAAAUCGUCAUCAUCCGUACCUUUCCUUGAAGAUUAAUUUGAGGGGAAAAGUUUAUGAGAUGCAAAUUAAUUCGAAGAUUUCGUCAAUCAAAGCGACGUGAAAGAUAAGUUCAGUCUAUUCUUGUUAUUUAAUUUGAUGAAAAUGUUAAUUUAUUAAUAUAGAAAUUGAUUUAAGAAAAAAAUUAUGGUUUCAAAAAACAAAUUACUUGGGUUUCAGUUAGAACUUCGGAUCCGAUAUAUCAUUAAAGGUUAGAUCUAUAAUCAGCUCAUUCUAAUUGUUGUUUUGGGAUAAAAUUUUGAUAAAUUUUGACAACAAUUUAACAAAAUUUAUUGGAACUCAUCUCCAAAAACUUGACCUAGCUGCCAGUCUUUGAUUAUGAUCUAAAUUGGACUUCAGAUUCGAGAUCGAUGCAUCUUAGUCUCUAUUACCCAUCAAACAAAUUUGAAUUUUAUCUACUUUCAAAUUUGAUGUCAUCUGAAUAUAUAUCUCUCUAUGGAAUGUCAGAGUGAAAUGGAUUUUUCAGCAAGCACCGAGUGAAAUGGAUUUGUGAGCAAGUACCGAGUGAAAUGGAUUUAUGAGUGGUUUUUAAUCUCCAUUUUGAUUGAAUACUAACAGAAAUUUUCUUCUUUGCAGGUGAACUUAUUGGUGCAAAAUAUUCAAGCUGAUGGGAGACAUGCACUUGACAACUGAAAGAGGAACGGCAAGAAGACUCGCAGACCAGCCGCCAAAAGCAUUGCCUUCAGCCAGGUUCAUGGUUAAGAUGUUGCAGUUACAGGAAAUUACUGCUAUUGAUGAUACAGAUCUUCCUCCAAGAUAUGUGAAUAACACAGGUCUUUCUGCAAGAAUUGGAAGGCUUAAUCUGGACGCGGUCGAUCUUGAUCAGUCAUCUGAAUGAGGCUUUCAUCGUGCAACGGCUCUUGCUGGUAGUAAAUUUUUAGAGAUAUGUUUCCUACAACUGAUGAUUUCUGCAUGAAUAAGGAUGAGCCUGAUUGGGAUAUACCAACGGGUGAAGUCGCUUCCGCCGGUGAUGCAAUUGAAGAUAUUCGUUAAGGCAAGACAAUUGCACCCAUAACUCGGAACUGGAUUUGAUCUGGCAUGAUCGAGCUGUCCAUGAUUUAAUUCAAAUUUUCUUUUGGGUAUAUCUUGCAGAUGGUCAUUAUUGUUGAUGACGACGAUAGAGAAAAUAAAGAAGAUCUAAUAAUGGCAGCAAAGUAAUAAUGGCAGCAAAGUUGGAUUUUCUAGAUUUUUGUAGAUGUGUACAUGUUUGUAAAAUGAGAAUUAAGAUUUAAAAAAGAAAUGGGAAUUAUAUAGUCAUAUGGGUACUCUUUUUGUAGCUUUCGGAAAGAGUUUUCCGAAUACAUAAAAUUUGCGAUUUUUGGACAAACGGUUUAAAAGAUAAAUUGAUUUUAUUUUAUUUUUUAUAUUA
Papaver somniferum (opium poppy) is the source of this 1642-nucleotide long non-coding RNA. RefSeq lists it as uncharacterized. The record is from RefSeq and is a predicted model, not a curated record. Lineage: Eukaryota; Viridiplantae; Streptophyta; Magnoliopsida; Ranunculales; Papaveraceae. The transcript has 5 exons.